AUACCUUUCUCGGCCUUUUGGCUAAGAUCAAGUGUAGUAUCUGUUCUUAUCAGUUUAAUAUCUGAUACGUGGACCAUCGGUUCACAUGAUAUUAAAUUAAUUUUUUUAGGGUGAGAAUCCAUUACAUUAGCUUGCUAUUGGGGUUCUUCUCGUGUGUCUCCUUUGUGUUGCACUAUUGCAUCGGUUUGGCACAUCCCUA
Molecule: small nuclear RNA, 199 nt
Filed under: Zostera marina
Lineage: Eukaryota; Viridiplantae; Streptophyta; Magnoliopsida; Alismatales; Zosteraceae
Description: U2 spliceosomal RNA
Rfam family: U2 spliceosomal RNA
About the family: U2 is a small nuclear RNA (snRNA) component of the spliceosome (involved in pre-mRNA splicing).
Source: Rfam by way of RNAcentral